Molecule: non-coding RNA, 72 nt
Organism: Stegodyphus mimosarum
Lineage: Eukaryota; Metazoa; Arthropoda; Arachnida; Araneae; Eresidae
Source: Rfam
GCCUUCGUGGUGUAACGGUUAGCCCACUCGGCGCGAAUUCGAGAGGUCCAGGUUCGAGUCCCGGCGAGGGUA